AGAGUUUGAUCCUGGCUUAGGACGAACGCUGGCGGCGUGCCUAACACAUGCAAGUCGAGCGGGGACUUUACGACUGAAUUGAAGACUUCGGUUGAAUAUGAAGAUGUAAAGUUCUAGCGGCGGACGGGUGAGUAACGCGUGAGCAACCUGUCCCUUACAGGGGGAUAACACAGCGAAAGUUGUACUAAUACCGCAUGAGACCACAGAGUGACAUCACUCAGGGGUCAAAGGAGCAAUCCGGUAAGGGGUGGGCUCGCGUCCGAUUAGAUAGUUGGUGAGGUAACGGCCCACCAAGUCGACGAUCGGUAGCCGACCUGAGAGGGUGAUCGGCCACAUUGGGACUGAGACACGGCCCAAACUCCUACGGGAGGCAGCAGUGGGGAAUAUUGGGCAAUGGGGGGAAACCCUGACCCAGCAACGCCGCGUGAGGGAAGAAGGUUUUCGGAUCGUAAACCUCUGUCCUUGGUGAAGAGGAAGAGACGGUAGCCAAGGAGGAAGCCCCGGCUAACUACGUGCCAGCCGCGGC
Molecule: ribosomal RNA, 526 nt
Filed under: uncultured bacterium
Lineage: Bacteria
Description: bacterial SSU rRNA
Rfam family: Bacterial small subunit ribosomal RNA
Source: RNAcentral